Molecule: unclassified non-coding RNA, 378 nt
Filed under: Hevea brasiliensis (rubber tree)
Lineage: Eukaryota; Viridiplantae; Streptophyta; Magnoliopsida; Malpighiales; Euphorbiaceae
Source: RNAcentral
UGAUGAUGAGUUGAGGAAGUUGCUCAUAGAAGCGUUCGUGGACAAUGCAAGAUUGAGAAUGCAAGUCAAUUCGGUAAUUCGUUGUGCUCUAAAUGCACAUGUGAAGUCAGAUAAAGAUGAAGAGGAAGAGGAGGAGGUAGAGGGAAAUUCCUUGAGGAAAACAGUUUUAAGUAAGUUCUUGGAAAGGUGAUAUGUAAUGCGUGGAACCCAUCCAUAUUAAAAGUAUAUAAAUUCAAAAUUAUUGCCAUGUACUACACACCAUAGUGUAAAUUAAGGAUAAAUUAAGGAUGAGUAUUAUUCGAUUUAAAUUGAAUCAUUCGAUUUUUAAUAUAAUUUAAUUCGAUUUAAUUUUAUAUUAUAAAAAUUUCAAUUAUUUUG